This 269-nucleotide non-coding RNA is filed under the name Larimichthys crocea (large yellow croaker). Its description in RNAcentral is "Eukaryotic small subunit ribosomal RNA". It matches the Rfam family "Eukaryotic small subunit ribosomal RNA", at positions 1229 to 1437 of the family's 1831-position model. Lineage: Eukaryota; Metazoa; Chordata; Actinopteri; Sciaenidae. The record is from Rfam by way of RNAcentral.
AACAGAUUAAUUGACAAAUGGAGAGCUCUUCCUUGAUUCUGUUGACAGUGGUGUAUGGCUGUUAUUAGCUGGUGCAGCGAUUUCUCUGGUUAAUUCUGAUAACAAGCGAGACCCCAGCAUGUUAACUAGUUACACUAGUUAACUAGUUAGUUAAUUCUUCCUUCUCUGUGUCUUGUGUAUUUUUACUUUUUUUGCCUUGGUUGUGUUUUCCCACCAGUUUUGAUUCUGCUCAACUGCAAUCAGGAGGAUCACACACCUGCCACUCACCU